GCGCCGUUAGCUUAGUUGGUAGAGCAGGGGACUUUUAAUCCCAAGGUCGUGAGUUCGAGUCUCACACGGCGCACCA
RNAcentral lists this transfer RNA (76 nucleotides) under Coriobacteriia bacterium. RNAcentral's name for it is "tRNA-Lys". It matches the Rfam family "tRNA". From Rfam's summary of the family: Transfer RNA (tRNA) molecules are approximately 80 nucleotides in length. Their secondary structure includes four short double-helical elements and three loops (D, anti-codon, and T loops). Lineage: Bacteria; Bacillati; Actinomycetota; Coriobacteriia. The record is from RNAcentral.